GAGGUAAUGACUUUGGGGGGCAAAGAAGGAGGCAGAGGGAGAGUGGAAAUGGUGUACAGUACUCAUAUGCAAGAUUACCAAAAAAUCUUUUAAAAAUGUAAUAAAAACCUGUACAGUCACACAGCCUGACCCUAAGAGGGAACCUUGUUGCAGUAUUCUGAUUACUGCCCUAAAAUAUUUAUCUCAGAAGAGCCCAUGAAUUUUCAUUUUGACCAGGGAUACACAAAGUAUGUGGACUAUUUAUGUGAAGACAUUCUGGGGAAAGCAACACACAAGCUUUGGAACCAGGGAGAUUUGGGAUUCUGUCCAAACUGCUUCCCAUAAAGGCUGCUAUCCCACAGAAACCAUGCUCUCAGCCUCAGCCAGUACAAUCUCAGCUACCUACUGGCGCAAUUGUGAAGGGUAGGCAUCACCGAGGUGCAGGAAAGACGUGCAGGAGAGCAUGCUUUAAUUAUAAUGAUUACUCAGACAAGCAAGUCUGUGUAGUCAGCCCCCGCUGAGAUCGGUGCUCGUCACAAAAAUACAUGUCUUUGGAAAAAUAGAUCUCUUUACAGGAAGCUGCGGCUUCCACCAUCUUGCUAUCGCCAGGAUCCUCAUAGCUCCUCAUCAGCGUAGUGGAGACAAAGACAGGAAGCAGUCCCCUUAAGUUAGCUAUUGCUUAUAGUGUAGUCAUAUUUUAAUGAUCCUAUUAGGCACACAAGUCAGUGGAAAUAAAGUGAAUAGAAAGAUCAUGAGAUUCAAAUGUGUGUUUGUCCUUUCUUGCAGCUAUGAUGGAGGAUUUCCCCCCUGUUUCCAUUAUCAGAACUGCAGGUUCCUUCUCAUUUCAAACCUGUCCCCAGAUAAUUGCAACCAAAGAACUAUGCCUUGAUUGCUCACCACUUUCAAAGGAUGAUAUUGAGGCACCAACUUAGCAAAUAGAAAGUGUCCUCUGGUUUCUACUGCUGCCAUGUAACACCAUGACCACAAGGACCAGUAAUAGUCAUCUUCCUUCUCCCAGUGCAGUUCCCAGGGGGAGACAACCAAGUCUGGCUUACCAAGCUGAGGCAGCCGGCCAUGCCGUGUCGAGGCUGGGUAAGGUAUGGCAGAGGGUCUUUAUGACAUGACCGUGUACUCGGUAAGCACCGAUUAUGCAGCCCUGUUUAAUCUCCGUUUCUGUCCUGAAAGAAGUUCUUGUUGCCCAACUUUAUAAUUACUAAGCCUCGUGUGUACAAGAAACUCUCGUGUUUGGAACUCCUUCAUCAGCAGCCGAUUUCAGUAUUUGCUUUAGUGAUUGGUCUGUUUAUACUGAAACAAGUGAUAUCUAGUCAGUAUGCAUUUGUGCCUAUUUAUUUUAGAUCGGCAUAAAGGAUGCAUAUGUACUCAUUAGUGGUAUGAUAUGGCUGACUCUGGAUUUUGAUAAGCUGUGAGGAAGAUUUCCCCUAGCAUGGGCCCCUGCCAUGAUACCCUAGCUUGCAGCAGACGCCAGAGCAGUGUGCUACCUGACCCCAGGACUGGAGCCUCCAAGACCGUGAGCCAAGCAAAUCCUUCCCUCUUUGAUGUGGGUCAUCUCAACACAGGAAAUCGUCAGGAUCUCUACCUGCAAACAAGUUACAGAGCAAUGAAUAAAGUGCCCUGAUCUAGAAAACAAAAGGACCCUACGUAGAGAAAAAGUGCAAGGUGGAUCUACACCAACAAAUGCUAUCAGUGACUUUGGAGUGAAAGACCCUGAAUGGAUUUGUUUUCUGUUGCGCUAACCUCUAUUGUUUAACCACUUUAUGGUACUAGAAUUAAGAGUGUGCACUGCUACACAUGGCCUACCCUGUGGUUAAACACCAUUCACAUGAACAGUUGGGGAGCCUUCACUAUUACAUGGAUACACCCGCUUUCCCCUAAAAUAUGCCUGCUUUCACUCUCCGACAUCUAAAUCAUGUUGACUUUUCAUGGACCUCCACCUGGAAAUCGAAGGCUGUGUAGAGCCUCCUGCAGCAUCGGUGCACGGAGAGCAGUCUAACACUCCUCUCACCUUGUGGAUGUAUCCAGCCUGCCCGGAUGUGAGUGUAACUCUGCAGGUCUGUUAAGUAGCGGGCAAAAUCGGAGCCCGGACUUGUGACAUUUUCCUCCCGGGCCCACAGGCACUACGUGGAGUAGAGACGUGAAAACAAGCUUCUCCGUGAGGGGAAGUAUUUGCACAAAGAGCACCAACUCUACGUGUGACUCCAGCUUGUUUCAAGCAUGGCUUAAUCUACUGGCCAAAGUGCGGAAGACGUUUCCACCAAACACCAAAAGCACACGCGUGUUUAAACUAAUCUUAUUUCAUGUUGUGAUUCUCUAGUUUAAAUAAGAGACCAUAGGAACAUCUUUCUCCUGCUCCUUAUAUAAAUAGGGCUUAAAAACAUUUUAUAAUGAAAUAUAAAUACAACUCUAGAAAGCAAGGGAAAGGAUAGUAAUGCUUCCUCCCUGCUAUUAUACAAUACACCUAAACAUGUUCCCAUAAAUUUUUAUUUAAUUUUUUCUAAGCAAUAAAAUUCCUACAAUUGUGUCUCAAAUCCUAUUGCAUUGGCCAGAGAUACCUAACAAUCUGCCUUUUGUAUAUUAAUCCAUAAAUAUUUACAUAAUACCUUUGAAUUUAGCAUUUUUAAAAAUACAAUUUGUUUU
This is a non-coding RNA of Myodes glareolus (Bank vole), 2634 nucleotides long. NCBI's taxonomy places the organism in Eukaryota, Metazoa, Chordata, Mammalia, Rodentia, Cricetidae. The record is from RefSeq and is a predicted model, not a curated record.